RNAcentral lists this ribosomal RNA (253 nucleotides) under uncultured bacterium. Its description in RNAcentral is "partial 16S ribosomal RNA". It matches the Rfam family "Bacterial small subunit ribosomal RNA", at positions 524 to 776 of the family's 1533-position model. The record is from RNAcentral.
UACGUAGGGGGCGAGCGUUGUCCGGAAUCAUUGGGCGUAAAGAGCUAGUAGGUGGCCAACUAAGUCAGACGUGAAAUCCCCAGGCUCAACUUGGGAACUGCGUCUGAUACUGGAUGGCUUGAAUCCGGGAGAGGGAUGCAGAAUUCCAGGUGUAGCGGUGAAAUGCGUAGAUAUCUGGAGGAAUACCGGUGGCGAAGGCAGGUCUCUGGGCAUUAACUGACGCUGAGGAGCGAAAGCAUGGGGAGCGAACAGG